AUAAAUCACAAUGCGGAACAAUGUUUUGCAAUUGGAUUGAGAACAACGUACAAACCUUAUCGAUAAACAAUUGGAGGGCAAGUCUGGUGCCAGCAGCCGCGGUAAUUCCAGCUCCAAUAGCGUAUAUUAACGUUGUUGCAGUUAAAAAGCUCGUAGUUGAAAUGAAGGGUAGUUGUGUAAUGAAUACAUUCGUGUAUUUUGUUAUUCUACUACCCUCCUUCUAAAUUCGAUAUAUGAGUAUUAAUUUACUUGUAUAUGGUUUUAGACCUUUACUGUGAGAAAAUUAGAGUGUUCAAAGCAGGCAUUUGCUUGAAUAUAUUAGCAUGGAAUAAUCAUGUAUGAUUUUCAUGAUGUAUUUGAUUGGUUUGGUUCAUGAGAAUAAGAUUAAAAGGGACAGUUGGGGGUAUUCAUAUUCAAUAGUCAGAGGUGAAAUUCUCGGAUUUA
RNAcentral lists this ribosomal RNA (444 nucleotides) under Blastocystis sp. RNAcentral describes it as "SSU rRNA". It matches the Rfam family "Eukaryotic small subunit ribosomal RNA", at positions 473 to 928 of the family's 1831-position model. Lineage: Eukaryota; Bigyra; Opalinata; Blastocystidae. The record is from RNAcentral.